This 241-nucleotide ribosomal RNA is filed under the name uncultured bacterium. Its description in RNAcentral is "partial 16S ribosomal RNA". It matches the Rfam family "Bacterial small subunit ribosomal RNA", at positions 92 to 334 of the family's 1533-position model. The record is from RNAcentral.
CGACCGGCGCACGGGUGAGUAACGCGUAUGUAAUCUACCUGUAACAGAGGGAUAACCCGGAGAAAUCCGGACUAAUACCUCAUAGCAUAUAUUAUUCGCAUGAAUUUUAUGUUAAAGAGACUCGGUUACAGAUGAACAUGCGUUCCAUUAGCUAGUUGGCGGGGUUACGGCCCACCAAGGCAACGAUGGAUAGGGGUUCUGAGAGGAAGGUCCCCCACACUGGUACUGAGACACGGACCAG